RNAcentral lists this long non-coding RNA (6070 nucleotides) under Homo sapiens (human). RNAcentral's name for it is "non-protein coding LINC00910:32". The record is from RNAcentral. Lineage: Eukaryota; Metazoa; Chordata; Mammalia; Primates; Hominidae.
GUUUUGAAAACGGUGUUGAUACAGUGGAAGGCUUGUGGUGUUGCUGGCCCUUGAUCGCUGGAAGGAUUCCGAGGAAAAGGACAACAACCUGUGUGGGUUCCCUCCCGACAACUGAAAUUGCACCAUAACUCCCAAGAAGAAACACUCCCAGAAACAAAAGGCAAAGACCCCUCUGAAACCAAAGAGCAAGUAUCACCGCCUGACACAUAAACUUCAUGACCUCGACAUUGAGACAAAAUCUCGCCGUGUGACCUACAACACCACUCAUUUAACUCCACCAACUUGGGGUCAAAUAAAGGUCUUAUCCCAUCAACAGAAAAAUCAUUAAGAGAAAAAUGAAUCCCCAAAACGACAGGUAAUAUAAUUCUGGCUGCCUUUAUGGUAGUCAGUGCAGUGGUGAGUAUACCACCAGUUUGGGCAACUCAAAAUUAUACCUACUGGGCAUGUGUUCUUUUCCCCCUUUAAUUCAGUCUGUCUCCUGGAUGGACUCCUCAGUAGAAGUUUACACUAAUAAUAGUGCAUUCAUGCCGGUCCCUAAUGAUGAUAGGUUUCCAGCUCAACCAGAAUAAGAAGGUAUGCACUUUAAUCUGUCAAUUGGCUAUAAAUAUCCACCACUAUGCACUGGGAUGUCGCCUGGCUGUUUAGUUUAUUCUUACCAGAAUUGGAUGUGGACAGUACCGUCCUUUACAAAUGAUUCUUAUCAAGUACAUAAUGUGUUCAGUAGCAAUUCUUUUCAACUUCUGUUAAACUUAAUCCACAAGAGGAAUGGUGGGUUCUGGUCACUACUAACAGCAAUAAAACAAAAGGACUGCCAGACUGCCCAAAGGAAUCUACAAAGGGACCUUUUCUGGUGAAUUCAAUUUUAUGGAAUAAUUGUAAUGCCAUUAUUGGCGGGAUUGCUCCAGCCAGAAUACGACAUGCUCAGAGUUCAAUUAUUUGUUACAAUAUUAGAGGACGGAUGGCAGUCCUACAGGUUGAGAGAAUGGGUGUCUCCUUACCCAUUCAAAUGGAUGAACACAGGCAUUGUUCCUUCUAGACCAAAAAUGAUUCAUCCCAUUGUUACCCCAGAACAUCCUGAAUUAUGGAAAUUAGCUGCAGCUAUGACAGGAAUAAGGAUAUGGAGUGCUACCUAUCAACUCUCUCCCACUAAUAUCAAAACACCCACAUUCAACAUCACCUUGAUGUCUGAACAGGUGAUACGUAUCAGGAGCUGUGUCAAACCCCCUUACAUGCUGUUGGUUGGAAAUAUAAUUAUCAUUCCCAAUACACAAAAUAUAGAAUGUGAUAAUUGUAAGCUGUUCAUGUGCAUUGAUGCUACUUUUAAUCCCACAACAAGUAUUCUAUUCGUAAGGGCUAGGGAGGGGGUAUGGAUACCAGUUUCUUUACAUCAUCCAUGGGAGUCUUCCCCCUCUAUACACAUAGUCAAUGAAGUUCUUAAAGGUAUCCUGAAAAGAACAAAGUGAUUUAUUUUUACUGUUAUUGUAGUCAUUGCAGGUCUAAUUGCGGUUUCUGCAACAGUGGCAACCGCUGGAGUUGAGAUCCACAGUUCUGUUCAAACCACUCAAUAUGUUGAAGCAUGGCAAAAAAACUCCUCCAGACUUUGGAAUUCUCAGACUCAAAUUGAUCAAAAGUUAGCUAAUCAAAUUAAUUAUCUCCACCAAAGUGUAAUAUGGCUGGGAGAUACAGUUAUGAAUUUGGAACACCGUAUGCAAUUACAAUGUGAUUGGAAUACUUCUGAUUACUGUAUAACACCUUAUGCUUAUAAUAAAGAUCAGCAUAGCUGGGAAUCGGUCUCAAGACAUUUAAAAACCUGGGAUGAUAACUUAACCUUGGAUAUUUCAAAACUUAAAGAACAAAUUUUUGAGGCUUCACAGGCUCAUUUAUCCACUGUUCUGGGCUCAGACAUUUUUGAAGGAAUAGCUAAAGAAUUAUCUGAUCUUAAUCCCUUUAAAUGGAUCAAACCCCUCAGAGGAUCAUUGUUGUCACUGGCAUUAUUAAUAUUGGUAUGCUUAUGUUGUCUACUUUUAGUCUGCAGAUCCCGCAAGGAAUCCGAAGACAAGUCCAAAGUCAACGACAAGCAAUGAUGGCAAUGGUGAUCCUAGUUAAUAAAAAGCGGGGAGAUGUGGGUGGCAAGCCACCCAGGUGCCGAGGCAAGAGACCGAGAGCACGAGCUGUUCCAGUGUAAUAAAAUAUAUAAAAUAACAAGAGUUAUACUGAUAUAGCUCAUAGAUAUGAUUAUAUAUAAAUACCAUUAAUCAUUAGUUUGUAGUAAUUACUCUUUAUUCAAAUAUUAUAAUAAUCCUCACUCUACAAUCAUAACCUAGAAAAAGGCAGGCCAUGCAGAGAUAGGAGCUGAGGGGACAUGGUGAGAAGUGACAAGAAGACAAGAGUGUGAGCCUUUUGUUAUGCCCAGGCAGGGCCACCAGAGGGCUCCUUGGUCUAGCAGUAAUGCCAGCGUCUGGGAAGAUGCCCGUACCAAGCGGACCAUGGUCUAGUGGUAGCGUCAGUGCCAAGGAAAAGCACCUGCUACUGAGCAGACCAGGAAAGGGAGUCUCCCUUUCCCCAGGGGAGUUUAGAGAAGACUCUACUCCACCAUCUCUUAUGGAGGGCCUGACAUAAGUCAGGCCUGCCUGCAGUUAUCCAGAGGCCUGACCGUCUCCCUGUGAUGCUGUGCUUCAGUAGUCAUGCUCCUGGUCUGCUUUCAUGUUCCAUCCUGUACACCUGGCUCUGCCUUCUAGAUAGCAAUAGCAGAAUUACUGAAAGUAUUAAAAGUCUCUGAAAUGCAGAAAUAAUGGUGUAAGCUGUCUCUCCUCUCUCUCCGCCUCGGCUGCCAAACAGGGAAAGGCUCCCUUUCCAGUGGAUGCAUGACCCACGUGACCUUACCUAUCAUUGGAGAUGGCUAACACUCCUUACCCUGCCCCCUUGUCUUGUAUCCAAUAAAUAACAGCGCAGCCUGGAAUUUGGGGCCACUACUGGUCUCCACGUCUUGGUGGUAGUGGUCCCCCAGCCCCAGCUGUCUUUUCUUUUAUCUCUUUGUCUUUUGUCUUUGUUUCUAUGAUCUCUUGUCUCCGCACACGGGGAGAAAAACCCACAGACCCUGUAGGGCUGGCCCCUACAGGCUCUCAACUGUGUCUCUGUUCAGCCCUGCUGUAGGGCUCUCAACCUUCUGCCUGUUUGGCCUGGCAAUGAGGCCCUCAACCCUAUCCCUCCACAGCCUGGUUAUCCAUCUCUCACUUCUGCUUCUCCUUUGGUGCAUCAGGCUCCCUCGAAGCCUGUCCUGCAGUUACUGCAGCAGCCUUGAUUUCUCAACCCUAAAAGACCUGCCCAGCAGGUAAUCGCACCUCAUCCUGGCUUACAGGUUCUUGAUUCUUCCUCUAUUCAAAACUCGAAUCUCUUUUUGGCUUCUGGUCCGGUUACCACUGCUGUUGCCACCACCAUGGCUGCUCAUAAGCAACAGGUUACAUACAUUCCUGAAAAUGACACUCCUCUUAUGAGAGCCAUUUCUCAAGCCAGGGAGUAUGGGCAUCCUGAGGCCUAGCAACUUCCUCUUAUUCUACAUCCCCAUAUACCUGCCGCUCCUGUUGCUGUGGCACAGGAUCAGCCACAGCCCGCUGAUCCUGCUCAGCAGGUGGCUGAUCACACGGCUCCCCAAGGUCCGCAGCCUGAAAAUCAGGCUCCUCAGGCAAAUAAUCAGGCUCCUCAACCUAUACCAUAAAUGCUUGCUGCUGUAGCGCAGCCAGCUCCAGGUAUACCUGCAGUCCAGGCAGUAGUCCAACCAGAUCCUUUUCAUCCAGGCCAGGUCCAGUUACUCCCUGCUACACGGGAAAGUUUUUCUUUUAAAUUCCUCAAAGAUUUCAAAGAAUCAGUGAAACAAUACAGCACCAUCUCCCCUUUUGUGCAUUCCACAUUAAAAGCUCUAGCAGAGGAUAAACGUUUGGUGCCUUAUGACUGGGGAAUUCUAGCAAAAUCAGUAUUAUCUGAAUCCCAAUAUUUAUAAUUCAGGACUUGGUGGGUUGAUGCUGUCCACGAUCGAGUUCAGCUUAAUCAAGGCUCUAAUCCUCCUGUUAAUAUUACAGCUGACCAGUUAUUGGGAAUGGGACAAUGGCCUGCAAUUACAAAUCAAACUAUACUAAAUGAUGAGGUCAUUCAACAGCUUCGCAAAUGCUGCCUAUAUACUAAUAGUAGUGCAUUUAUACCAGUCCCUAACGAUGACAGGUUUCCUGCUCAACCAGAGGAAGAAGGUAUGCAGUUUAAUUUGUCAAUUGGAUAUAAAUACCCGCCAUUGUGCAUAGGAAUGUCACCUGGCUGCUUAGCUUUCUCUAAUCAAAAUUGGAUAUGGACUGUACCGUCCUCUAAUAAUGAUUCUUAUCAAGUACAUAAUGAGUUUAGUAGUAAUUCUUUUCAGAUCAUGACUGUUAAACUUAAUCCUCAUGAGGAAUGGAGAGUUCCCGUCACUACCAAACAUAAUACAACAAAAGGACUGCUAGACUGUUCAAGUGAACCUACCAGGGAACCUUUUACAGUUGAAACUAUUGUAUGGAAUGAUUGUAAUGCUCCAAAAGCAGUAGUGUUACAGGGCCUGAUUACAGGUGGUUAUUGACUGGGCUCCAAGAGGAUAUUAUUGGCUAAAUUUUUCCAGCCUAAAUGCCAAAUAUUCUGAGUUCAACUAUUUGAUAGAUUAUGUAGAGGAGGGAUGGCAGUCCUACAGGCUGAGGGAAUGGGUGUCUCCUUACCCAUUCAAAUGGAUGGACAAAGUGAUCAUUCCUCCUAGACCAAAAGUGAUUCAUCCUAUUGUUACCCCAGAACAUCCUGAAUUGUGGAAAUUGGCUGCUGCCAUGACUGGAAUUAGGAUAUGGAAUGUAACCUAUCAGAUCAUUCCCACUAAUACCAAGACAGACGUAUACAAAGUCACCUUGAUGUCUGAACAGGUGAUACCUAGCAGGAGCUGUGUAAAAUCCCCUUAUAUGCUAUUAGUCGGAAAUAUAAUUAUCACCCCCCAACAGCCAAACCAUAGAAUUUGAUGAUUGCAAAUUGUUUACAUGUAUUCGUGUUACAUUUCAUCCCAUAACAAGUAUUCUCCUGGUAAGGGCUAGGGAGGGGGUAAGGAUACCGUUUCUUUACACCACCCUUGGGAGUCUUCUCCCUCUAUUCAUAUAGUCAAUGAAAUCCUUAAAGGAAUCCUUAAGAGAACGAAGAGAUUCAUCUUUACUCUUAUUGCAGUCAUUGCAGGAUUAAUUGCUGUCACUGCCACAGCAAUGGCAGCUGGAGUUGCUAUCCACAACUCUGUUCAGACCACUCAAUAUGUGGAAGUGUGGCAAAAAAACAAACAAACAAACAAAAACUCCACCAGACUCUGGAAUUCUCAGGCUCAAGUUGAUCAAAUUUGGCUAAUCAAAUUAAUGAUCUCCACCAGAGUGUGAUAUGGCUGGGAGAUAGAGUUAUGAAUUUGCAACACCGUAUGCAAUUACAAUGUGAUUGGAAUAAUUCUGAUUAUUGCAUAAUGCCUUAUGCUUAUAAAAAAGAUCAGCAUAGCUGGGAAAAAGUCAUGAGACAUUCAAAGCCUGGGAUGAUAAUCUAACUUAAGAUAUUUCAAAACUGAAAGAGCAAAUUUUGGGGGCCUCACAGGCUCACUUAACUACCGUUCCUGGCUCUCAUAUUUUUGAGGAAAUCACCAAAGUAUUAUCCGAUCUUAAUCUUUUUAAACGGAUCAAACCCCUUAGAGGUUCACUAUUGUCACUAGCAUUACUGAUAUUGGUGUGUUUAUGUUGUCUGCUUUUAGUAUGCAGAUGUCUUCAGGGAGUCCGAUGAAAAGCCCAAAGUCAACAAGCAAUGAUGGCAAUGAUGAUCCUAGUCAAUAAAAAGAGGGGAGAUUUGGGCAGCUGUGGACGAAGGAUUACCCAGGUGCCAAGACAGGAGACUGAAGGCACAAACUGUAGCAGUAUAAUAAAGAAAAUAGUUAGAAUAAAGAAUACUUACAAUACAAAUUAGAUAUAGAGAUGAUCAUGGACAAUUAUCAAUCAAUAAUGUAUAAACAUUAUUAAUCAUUAGCUUUUAAUAUUAGUCUUUGUUG